This is a long non-coding RNA of Carassius gibelio (silver crucian carp), 1075 nucleotides long. RefSeq lists it as uncharacterized. Lineage: Eukaryota; Metazoa; Chordata; Actinopteri; Cypriniformes; Cyprinidae. The record is from RefSeq and is a predicted model, not a curated record. The transcript has 3 exons.
GAGUUCUAUAAAUAAACACAAGCACACACAAAAUAAGUCCCAUGACUGCUCAUGCAGAAUCUUGUGAUUAUCAGAUGGCAUCUAAUAGAUUUAUCCUUUACCCAUCCAAAACAACCAUUUCACAAAGUGAAAACUUUUGUCAGCAAUUUCAGAGUGUAGUAUAUUUUGCACCAGCAUGAGGCAUAGUGAAAAGUGUAAUAAAGUACAAUUCAUUGGUACCAUAAAGCAUAUUUUUUUAAUUAGCCAAUACUGCCAAUAUUUAAAGGUUUGUACUUAUUUUAAGAUUGAGAUCAUCAUCUAGCACUAACUUUAAGUUUAACUCUGUAAGAGCACUAGAUCUUGAAAAGCACUUUCCUAUUUAAAGAGAUGCUGCACUCUGAGCUCUAUUUGCUUAUUUAUUAACACUGGCAAUCAAAUUGCUAUCAGCAAAUUACAGUUUUAAAAUAACUGUUUUCUGCAUCAUCCUCUAAUUUCCAGAACAAUGCACCCCUAAUAGAAAGUAUUUACCAAAUCACAACAAAACUGUCAGAACAUGAUCUUGAAUUGUGAGAAAAACAUUAACAUGUGACCAACUGUGCUCAUUUAGAAAACAAAUGCAAUGCUAUUUGUUUUCAAGCUAUGGAGUGAACACCAGAAUCAAGGUCCUGACCAUGGGAGGAAACAGCCCUGCAUACCCACCGAAAUGACUCAACACCUCUCCCCUCCUUUCCUCUCAGCUCCUCAGCCUGCCUGGAGAACAAGGAGAUGAUUCACGAUGGGAGAAGGAGGGGGAGCUCUGGUGUGCAGCAGGAAGGGAGGGGUUUGGUGAUGGGUGAUUUAUGGACAACAGCUGACAAGCGGGAAAAAAAACAACAAGAGGGAGGGAAGCAGAUGCCGAUUCCUGCACUGGUGCUGCUUCACAAACUAGUGUGCCAACCCGGAGUCACUGGAUUCAAACAGAUUCCAGAGCAUGGUGGACUCUCACCUGCCGACGGGUUCCAGUGGGGCUGCGAUAGGGGGGCUGCGUCCCUGAGAAAGAGGACAGGGCCAAGGGAUGGACGACAGGCUGACGAGGGGUGGAGAAAUGAGUCGAGGA